AUAUUAACAGCCAGUGCAUGAUUAAAAUACGUUUGUUCAUCCAAAUGGAAAAAUUAUGAGUCUCCUUUUUUCUUUUUUUUUUUUGUUCUUCGCGGAGGUUUAGUCGAGGGUUAUUUUUCGAACAGAUUAUUGGCAUCAUCUUAACAUAGUUCAAUAAGGACCGUCGAAUAAGAAAAAAAAAAAGAAACGAGGUCGACCAAAUUAGUUUCUAAGCUAUGAGCAAAGUUAGGAUUUAGAUAGUCAAAUUUGAAUUACGUCAAUGAAAGAUGAAAUUUGAU
RNAcentral lists this unclassified non-coding RNA (278 nucleotides) under Athalia rosae (coleseed sawfly). RNAcentral's name for it is "misc RNA ENSAEAG00005010055.1". Lineage: Eukaryota; Metazoa; Arthropoda; Insecta; Hymenoptera; Athaliidae. The record is from RNAcentral.